UCGUUGCCCCUUGAUUUUAUCACAGUUC
This 28-nucleotide non-coding RNA is filed under the name Rattus norvegicus (Norway rat). The record is from RNAcentral. Lineage: Eukaryota; Metazoa; Chordata; Mammalia; Rodentia; Muridae.